UAAAUGAAAUAAAUAUACAAUUUUUCCAAGCUUAAAAAUUUAAUUUUGUAAUCGAUACCAGGACUGGGAUCGCUGGUUGUGAAGAACCAGCAACUAGUGAACGCGGUUGUCCAAAGGUUUCAAAGAUAGCAGACCCCUACAACAGCUGCCAUGAGCUUCGGGGCCGGCAACCAUGGCGCUCUGGGCUUGCCCACUUCCUUAAUGGGCCUUGGUGUGGACGCCUACGAGCCCACUCGGGUCCCUUCUCUACCUCCUGACAUCACCGGCGUCACCGCUGGGGCAUUACCACUCCCUGGCCGUCACUUCCGAAGGUCAGCUUUGGGCAUGGGGGCCGAGACCUCGAGGCCCAGCUCGGCCGUGGAGGUCCCCUUCUCCGAGUGAUUCGUGGAAUGAACCAAUGAGAGUAACGGGACUGGAUCAAGUAAAUGUUUGCUCUGCAUUUGCAUCCGGUGUCAUUUCUGCGGCCAUUGGAGAUGAUGGUUCUCUGUGGGUUUGGGGAAAGUCAAAGCGUGGCCAACUUGGUCUGGGAGAGCUAGUCAUGGAGGCUGUGGAGUUGAAGCACUUGCUGGAGAGAAAAUAACUACCAACCGUGGAUGUAAGGGAUGACAGCGAUCGACGGCUUGGGAGUGAUGACCGGCACUUCCAGUUCGGAAAUCCCAAAACUGGGUAUUGCUACCCGGAUGACCUCAUGGUGCAGUGUGAGGAGUGCAAGGACUGGUUUCAUCCAGCAUGCAUGAACAUCUCAAAUGAAGUAGCCAAAAAAUUGGUCUAUGGGUGUUGUUAACAUUUAUAGAAGGCAGCAUUUUGUUAAUUAUCCGGGAAGUCUUUGAAUGAAUGGAUUGUUUUUUGCUAUUCAGCAUGUGCUAUUGAGUUAUGAACUAUGUCUUGUACUAUGACUAGUUCUAUUUUUCUAAUGAGACUAGGCAGUGUUGUUGCUGUUACUAUGUACACUGAUUUUACUGGACUGAGUAAUCAAAAUUUGUGACCUUUUGCAGGGGGACCCUAAGCACCGAAACAAAUGACUUAAAUUGCAAGAGGCGAUACAAAAUGCUGUGCUGCUGUUUGUGUUCUUGCUGGUGCUCUUGGAUUGCUAUCAUGUAGUAUGUGGAUUUGGAGUAGGGUUUCCGGAGGGUUUCAGGGCUUGUUAUCCAGGAGAUUAGGCUUGUAUUGAAAGUUUUUUUUUUUUUUUGGUAUCUCAACAAUCAAACCGUGGAAUAACUGGAAUCUCUUGGUACGACAAAUUGCUGGUUGCGACUUUC
Long non-coding RNA from Rosa chinensis, 1259 nucleotides. RefSeq lists it as uncharacterized. NCBI's taxonomy places the organism in Eukaryota, Viridiplantae, Streptophyta, Magnoliopsida, Rosales, Rosaceae. The transcript has 4 exons. The record is from RefSeq and is a predicted model, not a curated record.